RNAcentral lists this ribosomal RNA (500 nucleotides) under uncultured bacterium. RNAcentral describes it as "bacterial SSU rRNA". It matches the Rfam family "Bacterial small subunit ribosomal RNA", at positions 8 to 522 of the family's 1533-position model. The record is from RNAcentral.
AGAGUUUGAUCCUGGCUCAGAAUCAACGCUGGCGGCGUGCCUAACACAUGCAAGUCGAACGCGAAAGUCCCGCAAGGGGCAAGUAGAGUGGCGCACGGGUGAGUAACACGUGGAUAACCUGCCUUGGAGUGGGGAAUAACCUUCCGAAAGGGGGGCUAAUACCGCAUAACACCUCGGGACAAAAGUCCUGGGGUUGAAAGGAGCAAUUCGCUCCAAGAGGGGUCCGCGCCUGAUUAGCUAGUUGGUGGGGUAAUGGCCCACCAAGGCUUCGAUCAGUAGCCGUCCUGAGAGGGAGCACGGCCACACUGGAACUGAGACACGGUCCAGACUCCUACGGGAGGCAGCAGUGGGGAAUUUUUGGCAAUGGGCGAAAGCCUGACCAAGCAACGCCGCGUGGGUGAUGAAGUAUCUUGGUACGUAAAACCCUUUCGGCAGGGACGAACUCAAUGACGGUACCUGCAGAAGAAGCCCCGGCUAACUCCGUGCCAGCAGCCGCGGUA